RNAcentral lists this ribosomal RNA (484 nucleotides) under uncultured bacterium. RNAcentral's name for it is "partial 16S ribosomal RNA". It matches the Rfam family "Bacterial small subunit ribosomal RNA", at positions 30 to 507 of the family's 1533-position model. The record is from RNAcentral.
AUUGAACGCUGGCGGCAGGCCUAACACAUGCAAGUCGAGCGGAGGAAGGGAGCUUGCUCCUGGAUUCAGCGGCGGACGGGUGAGUAAUGCCUAGGAAUCUGCCUGGUAGUGGGGGAUAACGUCCGGAAACGGGCGCUAAUACCGCAUACGUCCUGAGGGAGAAAGUGGGGGAUCUUCGGACCUCACGCUAUCAGAUGAGCCUAGGUCGGAUUAGCUAGUUGGUGGGGUAAAGGCCUACCAAGGCGACGAUCCGUAACUGGUCUGAGAGGAUGAUCAGUCACACUGGAACUGAGACACGGUCCAGACUCCUACGGGAGGCAGCAGUGGGGAAUAUUGGACAAUGGGCGAAAGCCUGAUCCAGCCAUGCCGCGUGUGUGAAGAAGGUCUUCGGAUUGUAAAGCACUUUAAGUUGGGAGGAAGGGCAGUAAGUUAACACCUUGCUGUUUUGACGUUACCAACAGAAUAAGCACCGGCUAACUUCGUG